This 340-nucleotide unclassified non-coding RNA is filed under the name uncultured Exophiala. RNAcentral's name for it is "sequence contains ITS1". The stretch from base 1 to 106 matches the Rfam family "5.8S ribosomal RNA", at positions 50 to 154 of the family's 154-position model. Lineage: Eukaryota; Fungi; Ascomycota; Eurotiomycetes; Chaetothyriales; Herpotrichiellaceae. The record is from RNAcentral.
GAAAUGCGAUAAGUAAUGCGAAUUGCAGAAUUCCAGUGAGUCAUCGAAUCUUUGAACGCACAUUGCGCCCUUUGGUAUUCCGAAGGGCAUGCCUGUUCGAGCGUCAUUAUCACCCCCUCAAGCCCCUGGCUUGGUGUUGGACGGCUUGGUGGACGCACCGUGCGGGGCGUCCACCCCUCCCAAAGACAAUGACGGCGGCCUCGUUGGACCCCCGGUACACUGAGUUCUUCACGGGACACGUAUCGGACACAUGGGUUUGCGGGACACGGUCUGCCUCCCCUCAGGGGAGAAUCUUUCUAAGGUUGACCUCGGAUCAGGUAGGGAUACCCGCUGAACUUAA